This 468-nucleotide ribosomal RNA is filed under the name uncultured bacterium. RNAcentral's name for it is "partial 16S ribosomal RNA". It matches the Rfam family "Bacterial small subunit ribosomal RNA", at positions 28 to 507 of the family's 1533-position model. The record is from RNAcentral.
GACGAACGCUGGCGGCGUGCUUAACACAUGCAAGUCGAACGGAAAGGCCCUGCUCUUGUGGGGUGCUCGAGUGGCGAACGGGUGAGUAACACGUGAGUAACCUGCCCUUGACUUUGGGAUAACUUCAGGAAACUGGGGCUAAUACCGGAUAGGAGCUCCUGCUGCACGGUGGGGGUUGGAAAGUUUCGGCGGUUGGGGAUGGACUCGCGGCUUAUCAGCUUGUUGGUGGGGUAGUGGCUUACCAAGGCUUUGACGGGUAGCCGGCCUGAGAGGGUGACCGGCCACAUGGGGACUGAGAUACGGCCCAGACUCGUACGGGAGGCAGCAGUGGGGAAUAUUGCACAAUGGGCGGAAGCCUGAUGCAGCAACGCCGCGUGCGGGAUGACGGCCUUCGGGUUGUAAACCGCUUUCGCCUGUGACGAAGCGUGAGUGACGGUAAUGGGUAAAGAAGCACCGGCUAACUACGUG